Long non-coding RNA from Gasterosteus aculeatus aculeatus (three-spined stickleback), 259 nucleotides. Lineage: Eukaryota; Metazoa; Chordata; Actinopteri; Perciformes; Gasterosteidae. The record is from Ensembl.
CAAAGUGCAAGGCGCCAUCAGAGCAUCACAAACUUUCAUGAUGACAUCAGCGCUCUAGAGUGUGAAUCCAGAAGCGGGCUCUGAGACCGAGGUGAAGGAGAAAGCCGAGGAGCCGGCCACUCAGCCGGACCAAUCGGAGAAGGCCGCGGACGAGGCCCAGGAAGUAGCCAGCGGCGAGGGGCAGGAGAAGGGGAAGGAGGGGAAGGGAAUAGGUCGGUACCUGCCGACAUGGCUUAAGAAGCAGAAGUCUCAGAGCCAG